Molecule: long non-coding RNA, 250 nt
Filed under: Daucus carota (carrot)
Lineage: Eukaryota; Viridiplantae; Streptophyta; Magnoliopsida; Apiales; Apiaceae
Description: long non-coding RNA (DCAR_LNC000980)
Source: RNAcentral
GUGUGAUAAGUGGAUUUUAUAUCCACUUGGAAUGCCUUCGUUUCGACUUAAAUUGAUGGUUUGGCCUCAAGUAUGUGGUGUUUUUGAUGUGUUCUUGUGGUGUUGUGUAGGUUUCCUAGAAGGAGGAUGAAGGGUGGAUUCAAGGCUAAAAGGUGGAAGAAACGGCGUAGGGAUCGAGCGAGCAAGGAAGGAGAAAAGGGAAAGGAGGUUCCAAAAGCAUUCGGGGCUGCCCAAAUGGGGUCUCCACCCC